GACGAACGCUGGCGGCGCGCUUAACACAUGCAAGUCGAACGGAAAGGCCUGCUUUCCCUUGUGGAUUGCGGGUACUCGAGUGGCGAACGGGUGAGUAACACGUGAGUGAUCUGCCCCCAACUUGGGUAUAAGCCUGGGAAACUGGGUCUAAUUCCCGAUAGGACUGCAGGGUGGUGCCUGUGGUGGAAAACGAUUUUCUAGUGGUUGGGGAUGAGCUCGCGGCCUAUCAGCUUGUUGGUGGGGUAAUGGUCUACCAAGGCGGCGACGGGUAGCCGGCCUGAGAGGGUGGACGGCCACAUUGGGACUGAGAUACGGCCCAGACUCCUACGGGAGGCAGCAGUGGGGAAUAUUGCACAAUGGGCGGAAGCCUGAUGCAGCGACGCCGCGUGGGGGAUGACGGCCUUCGGGUUGUAAACUCCUUUCGACCGCGAGGAAGCCACCUGGUUGGAAGGGUGGUGACGGUAGUGGUAGAAGAAGCACCGGCUAACUACGU
This 493-nucleotide ribosomal RNA is filed under the name uncultured bacterium. RNAcentral describes it as "partial 16S ribosomal RNA". It matches the Rfam family "Bacterial small subunit ribosomal RNA", at positions 28 to 506 of the family's 1533-position model. The record is from RNAcentral.